This is a long non-coding RNA of Lineus longissimus, 813 nucleotides long. RefSeq lists it as uncharacterized. The record is from RefSeq and is a predicted model, not a curated record. The transcript has 3 exons. NCBI's taxonomy places the organism in Eukaryota, Metazoa, Nemertea, Pilidiophora, Heteronemertea, Lineidae.
GUAGCGGCAAAAAAGCGAAGCUGGCGAAACAUUUAUAACGGGUCACCGUCACUUAUUAUUGGACUUAUAGCGCAUUUACGGGGUUGCAACUAUUUUGCUUUAUAGUGUCACCAGGAAAGAAAAGCAUGCGACCUAACGCCGAUCUAUUUGUAUAAAGUGAUAAUUGGAAGGCACACAUUGACAUAGACCACUGUUGCAAUCAACGACACAGUCGCUAUCCAAGUAGCAUUAUAGAGCUGUCAUGCAACGCAACAACUGUGCUAUCUGCCAUCGCACAUCAACGAAGAAGUGCAGCCGCCCACAUUCCACCUCACGUCUGUCCGACCAGCUGCAAUCCUCGAGGACGCCACACUGUACCACGAUUUCACUACGAUGUUUGACAAGAAGGAGCAGUGCGCGAGAUAGGCUAAUGAGCAGACUUCCCUCGCUUGAGUUUCGGAAGAAUGUUCCAUAUCGCGCUAAGCUGACCACUGCUGACCAUGACAGGCGUGCAUUGGACUGGUACAGGUUGGAACUGAACAUUGAAUAUGCUGGUGGUGACGCUUUCUGAUGAGAAGUUGGUCGUGACUGAUGCAGUCUCCUUGGACUUGUCCACAGCAUCGUUCAAUCAUUGCUCUCUGAGCUGCCUUGAUUCUGUACCCAAAUACUAAGACCAAAUGCCUGUUGACUGUGCUUUAAGAGAGACUGGCGCCAUGCCUAGAGAUAUGACUGACCCCUAUUGGCAAAUUUGUAUGACUUUAUCUUGCCUACCUAGCUGCUGCCUAUAGUCUCCCUUUAACUGCGGAACACUUCAAAGUCGAUAAAAUGCCAUGU